UACGUAGGUCGCAAGCGUUGUCCGGAUUUACUGGGCGUAAAGAGCGCGCAGGCGGCUGGUCAAGUCCGAUGUGAAAUCUCCCGGCUCAACUGGGAAACUGCAUCGGAAACUGAUCGGCUUGAAGAUGGGAGAGGGUAGUGGAAUUCCAGGUGUAGCGGUGAAAUGCGUAGAUAUCUGGAGGAACACCGGUGGCGAAGGCGGCAUUCUGGACUACAACUGACACUGAGGAACGAAAGCCAGGGGAGCAAACGGG
Molecule: ribosomal RNA, 253 nt
Filed under: uncultured bacterium
Lineage: Bacteria
Description: partial 16S ribosomal RNA
Rfam family: Bacterial small subunit ribosomal RNA
Source: RNAcentral